RNAcentral lists this microRNA precursor (73 nucleotides) under Eptatretus burgeri (inshore hagfish). Its description in RNAcentral is "Ebu-Mir-15-P2f_pre stem-loop". Lineage: Eukaryota; Metazoa; Chordata; Myxini; Myxiniformes; Myxinidae. The record is from RNAcentral.
UAGCAGCACGUAAAAUAUUGGAGUGGCACUUUGGCGCUUGUACUGAGCCUUCAAUAUUGCACGUGCUGCUACA